Non-coding RNA from Mycena epipterygia, 91 nucleotides. The record is from the annotation of a GenBank genome assembly. NCBI's taxonomy places the organism in Eukaryota, Fungi, Basidiomycota, Agaricomycetes, Agaricales, Mycenaceae.
GACCUAGUAGCGGAUGGAUCGCACCUGCUUUAAGUGAAGAAGAGCUUGAGAUCUUAGGUAGGAGUUCCUGGUUCGACUCCAGGCUAGGUCA